RNAcentral lists this ribosomal RNA (310 nucleotides) under uncultured bacterium. Its description in RNAcentral is "partial 16S ribosomal RNA". It matches the Rfam family "Bacterial small subunit ribosomal RNA", at positions 503 to 809 of the family's 1533-position model. The record is from RNAcentral.
AAGAGACAGCAGCCGCCGCGGGAAUACGAAGGGUGCAAGCGUUAAUCGGAAUUACUGGGCGUAAAGCGUGCGUAGGCGGUUUGUUAAGUCUGCUGUGAAAUCCCCGGGCUCAACCUGGGAAUGGCAGUGGAUACUGGCAAGCUAGAGUGUGUCAGAGGAUGGUGGAAUUCCCGGUGUAGCGGUGAAAUGCGUAGAGAUCGGGAGGAAUACCGGUGGCGAAGGCGGCCCCCUGGACAAAGACUGACGCUCAGGUGCGAAAGCGUGGGGAGCAAACAGGAUUAGAGACCCCCGUAGUCCCUGUCUCUUAUAU